ACUAUGUGCAUCGUAAAUUCACGCCACCGAAGGACUUUUGGCUGCAGAAGAAAACAUUGGUUGAAGCAGAUCUCUAAACGCAGGAAUGAGGCACAAAACAAAUUUAAUUCUCUUUGCCAUCCGGCCAUGUCGUAAAAUGUUGUGUAAUAGAAUAUUGGCGUCCUAUAGUUAGUUGUUUGUCGAUCCACGGGUGCUGGUGGGACUGGAAAAACCUGAGCGGAAUACUGAUGAAAAUCAGUAGUGUUAAACUUGCCAGGUGGCAGCAGAGGAAUAUAAUAACGAAGUUUUCUUGGAGCAUCCACUUGACAUAAGGCGAGAUGAUGUGAGUAGAGAGCAAACGGAUGCUGGUAAAAUAGACACUCUGUUUUCUGCCUAUUCCAACAACAAUGAAAGAAAGAGUGGAGUGCGGCCAGGAAGGACGAUGACACUGUAGAGUGAUGAGAAAACUGUGUUUCUAAUAUGAUAAUAUUUAAAUAGCGAGAUGGGAAAUCUGCUAGGCUACAGCAAAAAGUUUUCUUGUCAAAUAUUCAUUCGCAAAGUACAGCAAUGGAGUUGGAGUGACAUGAUUGUGAAAUUAUUGGGCUGUUACGAAGUCAUUGCCAAUGGUUCGGUGAUUUUUCGAAGUGCUUUAAGAUUUAAUGGAAUCGUAAGACCUUUAAUUCGAACCUAAGUUUAUGAGAAUCGGUCACACUACCUGAGGAAAGUAAGUAUUCCGAAAUUGAAACACAAAAGUCAAAUACAUUAAUCACCCUGUAAAUGAGUUUGAAAUUCUGAAAUUUCCUAUGGGAUCUUUUAUUCGAAUCCAAGUUUGGGAAAAUUGGUUUAGCUUUAUCUCCGAGUAAAGUGCGUGCACAAAAAUGCUACACAGCCAUUUUGCCUACUAAAUGAACUGAUUCAAGCCUCGGUUCAAAGAUCGGUUUUUCACAGUGAUUGUAUAACCCUUGUGUAUGAGAAGAACGAAAAUCCCGUGAAAAAAAACAUUUUAUUUUGAAGAUUGAUUAUAGCGACAAAGACUUUGCUUGAAUCAACUUAUCUCUCAUGCUCUAUUUCGAUUAAAUCAAUUAAACGAAAUCUAACGAACCUGCAUUUCUGUUACUUUUGUACAUGUAAUUCAAGCUACGCAGCAUGGGUCAGCAGCAUAAAACAUGUAGUAGGAUUAUUACCAUUGUUGUAAUUAUUAUCAUUGUAAAUAAUUUCCGUAACAGUAUGUAUGUCAGAAUUAUUUUCGGUUUUUCAUUAACAUCACUACAACACCAGCCCAGUAUUACUGUACUAACGGCUGUGACGAUUGCAUCUACAUUGCUAAACAUGAAAUUCCGAAGUAUGUUUAUUUUUCAAUUAAAUUUUAAUUAUUUGAUAUUCUUCUAUUUUUUUAGUCGCACUUAUCAUAAAAAAGCUAAGAUUUUCUCAACAGCAACACCGUGUUUCACCAAAAUCACACACCAGUAGCAGACAUUCGUAACCGUAACCGUUUUCUUUAUAGCCUGUAGGAAAUUGAAUAUAGUACGUUGCGUGAAAGGCGCGCUGUAUUUACUUCUACCGUGCCAGCACCUAUCGGUGCGUACCGGUUUUGCAUCCUCAUUUUAUAUUACGGUUUGAAAGUUUUUAAACUCUUCGCCCUGUAUUUGGGGAAACUGCGCACAAUUUUGCUGAACCAAGCUUUUUCAUAUGAGCUACCAGUAAAAAGUUAUGAUCGUUUUUUCAUCAAAAACUAGUCAACCUUCAAAUGCCAAUAUUCAUUAAAUGCCAGAUCGAUAAAAAUAUAUUUUAUACGGUUUCUGAAAGGUCAUAAUAUGAGUAAAAAUUUAAGAGAAAAUUGAAAGGGUGUUAUUUUUUUAACUUACUUAAAUUAGUCUUAAAAAUACCUUCAAAAAACUUCAAAACAAAAUGAGACGUCAAAUGAAAAGUUUCCUUUCCUACAACUUUACUGUACAGCGAAAUCACUUUUGAGUUCAAUUAAGAAAGUUAGUUUUCAGAUUUCAAUCGAAAUAAGGACCACCCUAGUAACUUGUCCCAGGUUGGCGGUUCAAUGCAUAGGACGCUGGUCUUACAAGCCAGUUGUCGUAUGUUCGAGUCCCGACCUGGAAGGAUUCUUAGUGUCAGUAGGAUCCAUAGUACUAGCCAUGCAAUGAUUCUGUACACUAAGGAUCGGCUGCGAAGUCUGUUGAAGCAGAAAGGCCAAAUUCCACAAAAGGAAUAUAAUGCCAAGACUUUGCUCUGCUAGUAACUUUUCUCAUCAAAAGGAGCGCCAUUUGAUUACAAACAACUUUUGUGAAGACGCCAACUACAAAAAACUAGUAUUAAAUAGUGAAAACAUUUUUGUCACGUUAAUUUCCCAUUUCGAACCACUGUUCAAUGUAAGCUUUAAUUUAAAGAAAGAUUUGCGAAAAUCGGAUCAAGUAUCGCCGAGAAAUCAAGGUUAGCUCUACUUUUCGAGUUUUUCUUCACUGCCUUCGAUGCUUCCAGAGCUGGAAAUGGGGGGCCAGUAGUACCGAACAGAGCUGCAAAUUGUCAGUCAUGUCAAAUGACCUUGACAGACUGACUAAAAUCAUCGUCAACUGUAAGCGGUACAAUCAAAGUGUCUGUUAAAUGAGAUACUCGAUAGUUCAAUGACCAAGUAGAAGUAUACUCAGUCAAAGACAGGUGACGCAUUUUAUUCUCUGUCUCAUUCUCCUAUUCCCUGUUGAAUUAAAAAACAAUGCAUGAGAGUACUAACAUAAACAUAAAUUGAUAAAGUUCAUUGUUCUUUGUAAAAAGUCAUUGGAUUUCGGAGUUUAUUGGUGUACAUGAAUUUAAUUCAAUGUUUAUGCUACUUGAUUAAUAUUUAGUCACAUCGUAAUCAAGCAGUGACAGGAGAAAUGAAGAUAAUAUCAAUCGCAUCGGCAUUCAAUGAGCGUCCUGGUGAGUAUAAUAUCAAGAGAAUUCAAAUUAUGACAGAUCGGCUCUCAGACACUCAAUAUAUGAUGAUUGGUAGAGCCUGGUUGGCAGCAGUCCAGUGACAUAAACUUUCCAAUCUUCGUCGUUCAAAGUUGCUCGUUGAUAGUGACAUUUAGCAGCUCUGGUACCGAAUAAGUUUAUAUGCCUACAAACUAACAAGUUCUACAAACUAGAAAAAUUGAUCAGUCAGUUUUAAACUGUUUGUACCUGGUUUUACCAUCGUUUGUGAAAAAAUACCCCAAGAACUGAAAAUUUUUCACAUUCCAGAAACUUUUAAAGAACUAUAAGACCUUUCAAUUGAAUCUCAGUCUAUGAACAUCGGUUAAGCCAUUUCCGAGCAAAUUGAGUGCACAGUUUUCCUUAAUUUUCACAAUUUUAAUUUUGGAUCCGGAUUUUUAACAAUUUUAAUUUCAAAUCCAAAUAAAAUUCAAUAGUAGACUAUGGGACCAUAAGACCUUUCCCGUAUGAAAAUCAGUUCAGCCAUAUCUGAAAAAAGUGAGUGCAUAUUUUUUUCCAUUUUCUUGGUGCAUAUCAUUCUUUAUCUCCGGAACCGGAAGACGGAUCGGAAUGAAAUUCAAUAGCAGGUUAUGGGACUAUAUGACCUUUUAUUUGAAUCUAAUGUCGUUUUCGUUUGAUACCAAACCUAACUCAGUAUCCAUCCUUACUGCUGUCAAACCAUUUGUUUGAGCCACCUUCAGACAUAGCUUCAACGUUGUUGAACUAAAAAUAUAGUCAGUUUCGAACCUGAUUUUGAUAUUAGGUUUACUCAAACCUCCGUUGCUAAGUGCGAAUCCAACACAGUUUCGUUGUUCAGUGUUUGUUUAAUGAAAAACCCUGGAUCAGUUUAAGUUUCCUCAAGCGAAAACGACAUACGUUCGUGAAAAUCGGUUGAGCCAUCUUCGAGAAAGUGAGUGCAUAUUUUUAUUGCAUACGCAUACACACAUACAAUAAAUUUACGAUAAAUAAGUAAUUCGUAAGAUUUGAAAAAUGUAAUAACUGUCGUAGCACAUUCCUAGUGCGAACCAUCACUUUUUCUAUAUUGUUUGCAGCUAAAUUCAAAGUGUUUUAUUAUGACAGGGAUAUUUAGUAACAUGGCCUCCUGAAAACAUUUUGUCUAUAUCAGUCUUCGAUUACAGGUUAUAAUACUAUUACCGGACUUAACACAAGGAUCAAUAAGGUCAUUUUUAAUGAGCGUGAAAGGGCAGUAAUGACGAUGUCUUUUUUUCAGAUCAGACCUCCGGCUCCGGAAUAACACGUAGAGUCGCUUUGUAUUUUGUGAAUCAUUCUGUCAACAAAUUAGAUGAAACCGAAUACAAUAUCUUUGCUUGGGCCCUAAGGAGCAAUAUCGCAGGAAAAAAAAUUGAAAAUUAUUUGUGCCAAUCUACACUGAUACCCGUACUAUGGUUCCGGAAACACCAGCAGUAAUGGCCUUAAACGCUCCAAAAUGUUAAUUACACCGAGGAUACAAGCGGUAAUGAGAAUGUUAUCAGUCGGUGAAGUGAAAUAGGUUUUUCAAAACAAAUAUACCUACCAUGAAAACUUCCAUCGCCAUAUCGGUCAGCAGACCAUUAACGAAAUGGAACUUCUCCAGUGCCCCAUCGAAGGUCAUGCCUACGAACACACCUUUGGGUAGGUUUUCCACCCGAUGCCCAUCGAUGUUGAGCACUUUCAGUAAACUCAGCACUUUCAUAGCAUCCGCGGGAAAAGCUGUCAACUCACUGCGCACCAGAUGCAGCUCCAGCAGCGUAUCGUUGAUCCCGUAGAACACAUGAUCACUGAUGGUGGCGAUGGGUGUGUCGAGUAUGAAGAGCCGUUUCACGCUAAGCUUGUGCAGCAGGGUUCCGAAAAGGUUUUCUGUUGAGAAAUGAAAACCACAGGCGUGAAACAAUGAACAAGUUAUUAGUACAUGAUCGUGUUACCGGAAAAAAUCGGUCAAUCGGUGGUAAUCGUGUAAUACAGAUUGCUUGUACAUGGAGAACGUUAGGAAGAAAAUAAAACCAUCAAUUCAUCUAACAA
Malaya genurostris is the source of this 4953-nucleotide long non-coding RNA. RefSeq lists it as uncharacterized. The transcript is spliced from 5 exons. Lineage: Eukaryota; Metazoa; Arthropoda; Insecta; Diptera; Culicidae. The record is from RefSeq and is a predicted model, not a curated record.